RNAcentral lists this non-coding RNA (29 nucleotides) under Mus musculus (house mouse). The record is from RNAcentral. Lineage: Eukaryota; Metazoa; Chordata; Mammalia; Rodentia; Muridae.
UCCAACCAGGCCUGAACCCUCUGCAUGAA